AAUGACUUGUGGCAAAUAGUUAUGUACAUCCUCAGAUUUUACCAAGGUCACUGAAACCAGGGCAUUUACUUUUGAAUAAGUCUUGCUAAGGAAGCUUGUCUUGCCACUGGUUGCUCUGGCAUUUCCGCUCCAGACCAUCAAACUUUAAAGCAUCAUGAAGACCCCGAGCCAAGCCUGGAAAAGUGUGUCCUUUCUGGUCCAGCACCUGCCUGUGUGCUCAACUCCAUAAACUGCUGACUUCUAAGAGCUACUCACAGAGUGUCAAGUUGAAGAUGAUCAGGACAUGCCACCCUAACAUAUGCUGCCUUGGUGUAUGGAUUACUUUGAGCGGAGGACACUUGAAACACAGCAAAUGCAGGAAGAGGCUUUCUCGGAACUCCUCUUAUCUGUGUAAAGACAGAUAUUCCAAAAGGAAAUCAAUGGUCAUCAGUCCUUUCCCUGGAAGUUUCAUCAAUCUGGGAGUUUUGUUUAAAAAAUUCUUUUUCUUAAGAUCAAAUGAAAAUUUUAGACAAAUUAUAAUUGUAUAUAAUUAUGGGAUACACAUUGAUGUUAUUAUACACACACACACAGGCACAGUGCGGAAUCAUUGAAUGAAGCUAAUUAACAAAGCCACCAUCGUGAAUACUUAAUAGAAUUCAAUAUGCCCCUGUCUAACUGUAACUUUGUACCCUUUGACCAACAUUUUCCCAUUCCCUACACAAGAUUAACUCUUAUCACAGGAGAGGAGACUCUAGAAGUUGGCACCACACCCAGAAAGACUUUGUCACAAACCUAUCACCUCUUGUUCUAAGGGUGCAUUUAUCUUCCCCAAAAUAAUUUACUCUCCUCUAAGUUGUCUACAUUUGUCCUCUCCUCUCUCCUUAGCGGAGGGCAUAUAUUCUAAAUCUCGCUUAUUUUUUGUGUAUUUACUCUUUUUCUAGUGAUGCCCCCAAACACGUAGUAAAUUUGUAUACCUUUUGUCCUGCUGAUCUGGCUGUUGUCACUAUAUUUCAUAGACUAUUAAAGAAACUUUAGAGGGUGAAAGGAAAGUCUUCCUUCGCCUACAAAGUUGUAACAAUAGUCUUUAAGAAAAUUCCCAUUUACAGACAGAUGCCUCAUUGUUCUUUUCAUUAUUCUGCUGGCAGGAUAUUUAAGAAAUCGCCACAUUGUGACAGCUACUAUUGUUGUUUGUAAGAGUUGUCAAAGAGAAACAAAGCUGGACACUAGUUAAAGGCAACAGAGACAGAUUUUAUUCAAUGAUAACUAUUGCAGUAGGGAAGAGAGUUCAGAGUAAACUGAGCUCAGCUUUGCCAAACCUAAAGGCAGGAGAAUUUUAAAAUGCUAGGGUGGGCUGAAAGAAAGACACUGAGAGGUCAUUAAGAGAGUUUGGUUCAUGUGAUUCACUUGGUUAUUCAGGGUUGCUAAUUGGCACUUAUCUGGAAGAGAAACAAAAUUCUCAUGUCUUUAUGACAGGCGUAGUUUUGCAAGUUGGAGCAAGAAGCCCAUUGCCUGCCCACUGAAGUUAGCCCCUUAGCCUCCCACAGGGAGUCGGAGUGAGAGUUAUUUUCUUGAAUCUUUACAUUUCAAAGAACUAUUUCCAAGUCCUUGAGGAGACAGUUCUGGGUGGUAGAUUUCCAUCUCAAAGGGGCAGAGAAAGGAUUUAUAAUUGCAAACUUUCUAAAAUAACUGCUCUAAGAGGAGGUUUAGGGAGCUAUCAGCCUCACUAGGUUUUAGCUGGAACAGAUAGUAAGCUUUUCUAGCAGCAUUGAACUUUCUCGGACAGACUUUUUAGGGGGAAUUGGAGUCAUAAUAGGGACACCACCUUAAGCUUCUAGAAGCCAUGCUAGCAUUUGGUGAAGUCUCUUAGUGCAGGAGUUUGGAAAGGGUUGUAUGCUGAGAAUUUUUGCAGUUCUCAGGGCCUACUCUGGGUCAGAUGCAAAGUUUGCUGGAACAUUGCAUAUGAUAUUGAAAACCCUACCAAAAAUGCUGAGAGAGAAUAUUUUCAAACUUUUUCAACAUCUGAAAUAACUUAGGUUUAUAGAAAGAUCAGAGGAUGAUUAAUUGGUAGAUCUAAGAUUUGAAUCCAGUUCUGUUUGCA
Molecule: long non-coding RNA, 2077 nt
Filed under: Homo sapiens (human)
Lineage: Eukaryota; Metazoa; Chordata; Mammalia; Primates; Hominidae
Description: HSALNT0213880
Source: RNAcentral